RNAcentral lists this ribosomal RNA (536 nucleotides) under Escherichia coli. RNAcentral's name for it is "bacterial SSU rRNA". It matches the Rfam family "Bacterial small subunit ribosomal RNA", at positions 108 to 640 of the family's 1533-position model. Lineage: Bacteria; Pseudomonadati; Pseudomonadota; Gammaproteobacteria; Enterobacterales; Enterobacteriaceae. The record is from RNAcentral.
GAGUAAUGUCUGGGAAACUGCCUGAUGGAGGGGGAUAACUACUGGAAACGGUAGCUAAUACCGCAUAACGUCGCAAGACCAAAGAGGGGGACCUUCGGGCCUCUUGCCAUCGGAUGUGCCCAGAUGGGAUUAGCUUGUUGGUGGGGUAACGGCUCACCAAGGCGACGAUCCCUAGCUGGUCUGAGAGGAUGACCAGCCACACUGGAACUGAGACACGGUCCAGACUCCUACGGGAGGCAGCAGUGGGGAAUAUUGCACAAUGGGCGCAAGCCUGAUGCAGCCAUGCCGCGUGUAUGAAGAAGGCCUUCGGGUUGUAAAGUACUUUCAGCGGGGAGGAAGGGAGUAAAGUUAAUACCUUUGCUCAUUGACGUUACCCGCAGAAGAAGCACCGGCUAACUCCGUGCCAGCAGCCGCGGUAAUACGGAGGGUGCAAGCGUUAAUCGGAAUUACUGGGCGUAAAGCGCACGCAGGCGGUUUGUUAAGUCAGAUGUGAAAUCCCCGGGCUCAACCUGGGAACUGCAUCUGAUACUGGCAAG